AGCGAACGCUGGCGGCAGGCUUAACACAUGCAAGUCGAGCGGGCAUCCUUGUGGUGUCCGCGGCAGACGGGUGAGUAACGCGUGGGAACGUGCCCUUCGGUUCGGAAUAACUCAGGGAAACUUGAGCUAAUACCGGAUACGCCCUUUUGGGGAAAGGUUUACUGCCGAAGGAUCGGCCCGCGUCUGAUUAGCUAGUUGGUGAGGUUAUGGCUCACCAAGGCGACGAUCAGUAGCUGGUCUGAGAGGAUGAUCAGCCACACUGGGACUGAGACACGGCCCAGCCCCCCACGGGGGGCAGCAGUGGGGAAUUUGGAAAAAGGGGGGAACCCCUUACACCCCCACGCCGGGUGAGUGAUGACGGCUUUGGGGUUGAAAAGCUCUUUUCUCCGGACGGAAAAGGAGGGGACGGGAGAAAAAGCCCCGGCCAACUUUCGU
RNAcentral lists this ribosomal RNA (435 nucleotides) under uncultured bacterium. RNAcentral describes it as "partial 16S ribosomal RNA". It matches the Rfam family "Bacterial small subunit ribosomal RNA", at positions 29 to 506 of the family's 1533-position model. The record is from RNAcentral.